UGGCCAUGCCAACUUCCUGCUUGCCAUUCAGUUGAAAGGGGCAAGCCACAAAACAAGUCAGAGCCAAGUAUGAAACCAGCAAGGACGGACCUAACUGUCUUGAUUCGGGUUUGCGGGGAGGGCUUCACUGACCAUAAGGUUGGCACUAAAGUCGGGCCGUCUAGGGUAUAGGGUUUCAGGAGUAAAAGUCAAGAAACUGCAUGCUUUGCAUGUCUGGGAAGGGAUCAGAUCCGAGCCCAACGCAAGUGUUUCAGCUUGGGCAAGCCACUGCGGGGAGGCAGCGCCCAGCUCUGAUGCGCAUGCUCAGUGCCCAGGCUGCACGUCAGCCCUGACCAGACAACCGUCUCCUGCUCAGUUUGGGGGAGUGAAUUCAGUGCAUUACCAAGUACCGUGCAGGAUCUAAGUCUCCCAUCAUUCCUUUCAGAUACACAUGAUUUAACUGCUCCUGUGGAGACUGUCUUGGCUCAUGUUUCGUGCUCCAAAAUCACCUAGAUUUGGAGUGAAAAGGCCGUAAAGCCCGUGCUGUCGAAAGCAGCUGUCUCUCCAGAAGGGCAGCCUUCUUCAUGACAGUUGCUAUAGUCAUCUCCUUCUGGUGAAGCUCCUGGGUGAGGUCGGAGAUCUCAUUCCUCAUGCGUUCCUGCUCAGAGCAUCGGUCUUCCUCCU
Molecule: long non-coding RNA, 663 nt
Organism: Mesocricetus auratus (golden hamster)
Lineage: Eukaryota; Metazoa; Chordata; Mammalia; Rodentia; Cricetidae
Exons: 3
Source: RefSeq, a predicted model, not a curated record